UAUUGCACAUAGUAUACGUUUGACUUUUUAUUUGAUAUACACAAUAUAAUAAAAUAUAUUGAUUUAAAAUCUAUUUUUUCUCGAAUAGCUGGUUAGAUGUUCUGAUAUAGACAGAAUGACUGAAAAUGACCUCUAAUGUAUUACAAUUUAUAACCGUCAUGCCUCAAAACUGGGAGAGGCAGAACGAGCAAGUAGUUCACCCACCAUUUGUUCCUCUAGAAUGUAACACAAGGACACGCAGAUAAUUGUAAGCGUCAACAUUUCUGAAAACGUUUGUAAUUUGAUAAGAAAAUGAGAGUGUGAAGAUGAUAAUUAUACAUCCACAACUGAUCAAGACUAAAGCUGUUUUCCAUGAAUAAUGUCAGACUAUCCAGAAGUUCCCCUGGGCAGUCUCAAAAAUGGCAGAAAAGCUGGUCUUGUUCUCCCUCUACUCCAGCCCAGGAUGAAUUUAAUGAGGACAUGCCUAGACAGGGGCAAUCCAGGGAUUCACCUGGCCGUUCUAGAUGCUCUCCUUCCCCAUCUCACUUCACACACGAAUCAUCCAGGCCUUCUACUAGCCAGUCCCACCUCCAGAGCAGAGAGCACAGAUGUUCUCCAUAUCCAUCCUGUUAAUAUACCAGACAAGAUUCAUCCAGGGCUUCUACUUGCCAGUCCCAACAGAGCCAAGGUCAUCGCAGCUCUCACCCUCCCAUUCCCUCCGCAGAGUUGUUUCCCAUGAAUAAUGCCAAAUUUCAGAAGUGUGUCCUAACUAAAUUGGAGAUAUUGGAGGAGGUGAAACGUGUUGGGAGAGCAGAGCCCCAAGACUCUGAGUUCCAUGUCAAGAGGAUGGAGACAGGGCAAGACUAUGAGCAACUAGAGAAGCAGCUCCAAGGUGUGGAUGCACAGAAUCUGAUGGUGAAAUUUAUUUUGUAGAUUUAGUCAGCAUUUUUCACACUACCUAAAGCGAUACAAAAAGCGAUGCCUGUAGAUGUAUUUUUUUUUUUGUAAAUUUUUUUUAAGUAGUCAUAUUGAGACAGUGGUUACUGCAUAACUUCUGGUGUUUCAAACAGUCUCUUGACACAGAUUGCAAGGUAAAGCAAAAUUGGUGUUAAGGACACAAGGACCGUGCCAACAAGGUCGUGGACAGGCUCUUUACCAAUGGCCUGAUGUCCUUGUUCAACUUCAAUGGCCAUCACGCAAAGCGAGGAUUAGGAAACACAACUCUGUACUCUGUUGUCAACGCUGCAGUCAAGAAAUGGAACAGCAAGGCCACUGACCAUGAUGUUCGGAGAGCUGCGGCAGACCACCUCAAACAUGCUCCUGGUAGAGCCAGGUGUGGUGGUUUCCACGUCACCACCACACAGGACCGUUGCUAACGCAGCGAAAUAUAUCUAUACUUUUGAUGGAUAAUUAUUCAGUGUAUAUAAUUAAUUAUAUUAAUUUGAACUUAACUGUAUUUUGUCUUAUCACUGUACUAGAUAGUAUUCUUUGAAUGUUUUGUGAAAAUACUGGACUAAUGUAACGAGUAGUGUGAUUGUUAAUUUAAAAAAAAAUACAAACCAUUUUUUUGGUUACUGCGUCCAUGUGUAUAGGCUACAAGUACAUUGAAAUUAUGACAUUUGAAAGUCGUUAAAACAACGACCUGAAAAAUACAUCUCUUCAACUUUCACUUUCAACCAAAACAGGCCGUAGAAGGAUGUCUUUUUAUAGGUGUCUUUUCAACGACACGAAAGUCGUCUUUUCAAUGUCUUAUUUUUUUUACCCCUUUUUCUCCCCAAUUUCAUGGUAUCCAUUUGGUAGUUACAGUCUUGUCUCAUCGCUGCAACUCCCGUACGGACUCGGGAGAGGCGAAGGUCGAGAGCCGUGCGUCCUCCGAAACAACCCAACCAAGCCGCACUGCUUCUUGACACAAUGGUCACUUAACCUGGAAGCCAGCAGCACCAAUGUGUCGAAGGAAACACUGUUAACCGGGUGACCGUGACAAGAACAUCCCUGCUGGCCAAACACUCCCCUAACCCGGAUGACGCUGGGUUAAUUGUGCGCCUCCCUAUGGAUCUCCUGGUUGUGACAGAGCCUGGAAUCGAAUCCAGAAUCUAGUGUCACAGCUAGCACUGCGAUGCGGUGUCUUAGAGCACCGCGGCACCCGGAAGGCCCUUUUUCAAUGUCUUUUUAACGAAAGUUUGCUGGGUAGGAAGCUAACCCAAACUUGAAACUCACACGCCACAUAUGGUGUUUAAUAUAACACUCAUACAUCAUACAUACUCAUACAUACAUACUCAUACAUACAUUAAAAGUGGAAAUCAAAUUCCUGUCCAACUUUAUUCGUUCUGGCGCCAGCCCUGGUGAGACUUGACUCACAUUCAUAUCACUUGUUCACUUGACUACCUCAGCAUUCUCCUUAGUGGGUGAAGUGUCGGGCGGUGAAUGUGAAGAGAAACAUUUUGUGUUUGUUGCACUCACUGGUAGUGAUUCUGCUGAUAUUCCAAAGAAAGGUCUUCUUGCAGUGACUGUGGUAUGUUAUUGAAUUUCCCCACUAAACUUCACUAACUGACUCAAAUGUAAAAAUGGGAACCAAAUCAUACAGAAAUCACAGAUCCAGGAACACCAGAAACCACAUCCUCAAAUUUGGAGGGAUAGCGAGGACACCCCACUUCCCAUUUCAUGCAAUGCCCUACCCUAGACACCGCCCCCCGCUGAUUUCCUCCGAUUCUCAUGAAGGAACCGUGUGGGAGGAGGACACAUGCAGAGAGAAAGAGAGUAAGACGGGGGACAAUAAAGCCUGAGCAUCACAGGGAAAACUUAUUGUGUGUAUUUGUCCGACAAAAGGUAACCCUUGAGACUGGAGAACACAAGGCCGUUGUUGGAACAGCAGUGCAAGGUCUGAGUAGCAUCCUGUGUUGUCAGCAGUAAGAGAUCCACAGACAGGCAGACAGAGAUACUCUACCAUCCAACAGGACAGGAGCUGUGUCCUCUCAUCACACAGCCAGGAGGCAUGGCCGCCAACUGGAUCACUGGCCCGUCCAAUCAGACAACAGACUUCGGCAGUGUGUUCACUCACCAGGUGCUCCCAGUUCUCUACGUGCUGAUCGGCGGCGUGGGCUUGGCUCUCAACAGCUUGGCUGCCUGGAUAUUUUUCCGGGUGCCCAGCGACUCAGGCAUGGUGGUCUACUUGAAAAACAUGGUAGUGGCCGACCUGCUGAUGCUGCUCACCUUCCCCUUGCGUGUGGCCAGCGAGCUCGGCCUGGGCGGCUGGCAGGUCCGCGUGGCCGUGUGCCGCUACAGCGCCGUGCUCUUCUACUCCUCCAUGUACGUGGGCAUCAUCUUAAUGGGCCUCAUCAGCCUGGAGCGCUACGUCAAGGUCGUAGGUCACUCGUCUUCCUGCACACACCUCCUGCAGCGAGUGGGGUUCACCCGGGUCCUGGCCCUGCUGACGUGGAGCCUGCUGCUGCUUUCCGUACUCCCCAAUGUCGUGCUGACCAGCAAGCCUGCGGACGAGGAGAGCUCCAGACACUGUGUGCAGCUAAAGACCCCCCUGGGUCAGCAGUGGCACAAGGUGUCCUCGUAUUUCGGUGUGGCCCUGUUCUGGGCCACUGUACUGGUUCUAGCCUUCUGCUACUCUUCCAUUGCCCACCACUUCUACAAGUCGUACCGCCGCGUUCGCCAGGACGACAGCGGGGUGUACAGCAAGUCCAACUGCAGUAUCUUCAGCCUCCUGGCCGUGUUCUUCAUUUGUUUCGUGCCCUACCACAUCUGCCGCGUGACCUACACCCAAAGCCAGUUACCCGGCUCCGGCUUCAGCUGGCACAGCCGUUAUAUGCUGUUCCAGGCGAAGGAGGUCACCCUCUUCCUGUCAGCACUCAAUGUGUGCCUGGACCCCGUCAUCUACUUCUUGAUGUGCACUAAGUUCCGCGAGUCACUACUGAAGAAACUGCCCAGAGGCAGGGGAGGGCCAAAGAGAUGUUCCCUUACCACAGAACAGACUGUUAGUAAUAUGUGAUGAGAAGAGGAAAGGAGUGAGAACAGGUGAGUUGAAAGAAGAAUCAUAUGUGGAAAAAUAGUAAACCAGCAAAAGGCAAAGAAUUCUAAUACUAGAUACAGUAUGUAUUUAUAUAUUGCAGGGAGUUCGACUGACCCUUUUGUAAUGAACUCCGCUGAAGACAUGUCUGGACUGCAAUAGAAAUUAUAGACAUUUGUUACAGACAUUUGUUUGUAGAAAACACCUUUACAGUAUUAAAAAUGCUUACGUUUCAUUGCUACUGAUGCCAUAGAAUAAGACAUGGGUUAAGACAUUUUUUGUUGUUUUAAAUA
Molecule: non-coding RNA, 4287 nt
Organism: Salmo salar (Atlantic salmon)
Lineage: Eukaryota; Metazoa; Chordata; Actinopteri; Salmoniformes; Salmonidae
Source: RefSeq, a predicted model, not a curated record